UCCCCAUUGAAGAUGCAGCUUUCUUUCCAUAAGCCAUUUUCAUUCCUUAUGCCUUCGUGCUAACUUAAGCCGAUGUAGUUGGAGUGGAAGUUUUCUUUUUUGGGGUUCCUCCCGAGCCAAACGAUCUUCUUUCAGUUUACCGAAAAAAACGAGGUUAUCGCUGGUCCAUACGAGUCAAUAGAUGGGGUCCACAGGAGGGACUAUCCUCUAUACGAGUCCAGGCCAUGGAAUUUCAUC
RNAcentral lists this long non-coding RNA (237 nucleotides) under Elaeis guineensis (African oil palm). Its description in RNAcentral is "long non-coding RNA (EGUI_LNC024391)". Lineage: Eukaryota; Viridiplantae; Streptophyta; Magnoliopsida; Arecales; Arecaceae. The record is from RNAcentral.